This 269-nucleotide ribosomal RNA is filed under the name uncultured bacterium. RNAcentral describes it as "partial 16S ribosomal RNA". It matches the Rfam family "Bacterial small subunit ribosomal RNA", at positions 57 to 305 of the family's 1533-position model. The record is from RNAcentral.
GCAAGUCGAACGGAGUUCUUGAGGAAUGCGGCUUCGGCCAAAUGACUUUUGAACUUAGUGGCGGACGGGGGAGUAAAGCGUGAGCAACCUGCCUUUCAGAGGGGGUUAACAUUUGGACACAGAUGCUAAUACCGCAUAAGAUUACAGUACCGCAUGAUACAGUGAUCAAAGGAGCAAUCCGCUGAAAGAUGGGCUCGCGGCCGAUUAGUUAGUUGGUGAGGUAACGGCUCACCAAGUCGACGAUCGGUAGCCGGACUGAGAGGUUGAAC